Molecule: long non-coding RNA, 2269 nt
Organism: Zea mays
Lineage: Eukaryota; Viridiplantae; Streptophyta; Magnoliopsida; Poales; Poaceae
Exons: 5
Source: RefSeq, a predicted model, not a curated record
GAUUCCGGUUCAGCCCAACCACAACCGGCCAACCCAACCACAAUCCCCCGUGCUUGUGCGUACAUUUUUUUCCAUCCAUUCAGCCUAAACUAUCACCUAAAAUCUAGGAUAUAUUAUUCCCCCCAAAACAAACCCUAACCGGCCGGCCCAAUUCUCACGCGCUCGCCGCCUAGGAGCAUUCACGUUGGCGGCGGGCGGCGGCUCGGUUCCUCUCCUCCACCGCACCUCCAAGAAUCCACCUCCACGACUGAGCUGACGGCUCGGUAGCGCCAUGGCAGUUCACCGGCUCCAACCUUCCCCAUCCGGCCUACAGUGCUCCACCGCCCGGUCGCCAGUGCUCCUCCAUGGGCCACGGCUGACGGGUGCACGCACCGGUAUGCAUCCCUUGCUGCUCUAAUUCCCGACGCUCUAGCUCGUGUACCAGAUGUGCAGACUGUCGCCUAGCCCUGCUCCGGCGUGAAGGACUUCCGCUUUUGCCCCUGCGCAUCCCGCCCUUGGUCGCGCACCUCGGCAUGUUCCUCGGCCCGACGGCUACUGUCUUGAGGCAUACGGUGGCCGCCCACCUCGUACCCAGUCACCAGAUCUCAAGUUCCACCUCAAAAUCUAGAUCAAGUGAAUGCCAUGUUUCAUCCUUGGUUCAAUCGGUUCUUACUGGAAUUUGUUGGCAGGGCGACGAGCACCCACCACCGGUUAUGUGCACCCUCUCUCCUUCGGUCCUUCCUCCCUUUCUUCCGUGCUAAGCCACCGAGCACCCAAGCGGUUUGGCCUGAUGCCACAUCUCUGGUAGCUACAAACCUACAAGCUUUGACAAAAGAUGUUAUGAUUAGGCUGAUACAAAGUUGUUUCUGCUUCAUUAUCUCUGUAUCAUACUAGCACUUAUUAGGUUGCAACUUGAUUGUUUAGGUACUAGAUUUGAUCUGAUUGUGAAUUACCAGAUGGUUGGUGCAGGUAGGAGAGGUGGAUUUGGUGGACCUAGAUUCGAUGUGCAGAGAGCGACUUGGAGGUGGCUGACAUCUUCAAGCACUGCAUCAUGCAGUUACAACUACUGUUGGCCAUACAGGGAAAUGCUGGGCCUAUUAUACCAAUUGUUCAAAGCAUGGACCUUGUAUAAUUACAUGUUUUUAUCAUAGAUAGAUUAAUUUCUGAAAUGCCCAUAGAUUGGUAUAUUUGUGGAAAUUUAUUUGCCAACUGUAAGCCCGUCGUGAUGCAUAGAACAUUUGUGGUAUAAGAUUUUUCUGUUGAUGUUUGCAGGUUAUUUUUCCAGCACUUGACAUUCGAGUGAAAAAUGUCGCAGGGACAUAUUCUCUUGAACAUAAAGGAGAAAAUGAUCUCUUCGCACAUCAGACAAGGCUUCUACUCUUUCAGAAGAAAGUCAUUUUUAGGAGAAUCGUGAACAAAAUGACCAGAUGUUUAGGCCUGGUUGGAAGGACAUUUUUCGAAUGAAUCAGAGUGAGCUCGAGGCUGAGAUUUGAAAAGGUCUCUCGAGAUUCUACUCUUGAUCCAAGGAGGAAGGCCUAUCUGAUCCAAAAUCUCAUGACCAGCCGUUGGAUAGUUGCUCAGCAAUAAUCACCACAACCAAGCGUCGAAGGACAUAAUGGAUGUACACGAUGACCUGGAUGUGUUCCUUCGUACCGAGACCCAGGGAAACAAAUAUUUGGCUGUGAGCAUUACAAAAGAAACUGCAAGCUUGUUGCUGCAUGCUGCAAUAAGCUAUUCACUUGCAGAUUCUGUCACGAUAAAGUUAGUGACCAUACAAUGGACAAGUAACUCAAGAGGUCCACUUAUUGACUCUUAUGACCAUGUAAUUGGUGUUAAUACAACUACAUUAACAUGUAAAGGUUGGUAGAUCUGGAAGGUCUUGAUGGUCUAAUACCUAUCUAUGAGUACGGAAGAAAAGGCGGGAGAAGUCGGUCUCUGCAGCAUCGCGCGUGAAAAAAAAUCAGCCAAUUCCACGAGCAUUGAUGUUGUCAUGACUUCAAAAGAGGAGAGACCAUGCUAAGAAUAAUGCAUUAUGACAUUUGUCAGGCUUACAUAUCGACUGUUUGAUAUGGAUAGAUGUAUAGGUUUAUGACCAAUCCAGUUCAAAGCAAUUGGAGUAUAGAAGAAAUAAGGAGAAACAGGAAAGCUCUGUACAUCUUGCAUUUUGCUGUUGUUUGUCGAAGUUUCAAUGUCUGUCGCGUGACAAAAUAUAGUUGUAAUUUAUAUUUUGGCAUGCACGAAACAGGUGUAUUUAUUCAUUUUUGAACGAAAUUUUAUGUCAAAUCCUCUA